Molecule: ribosomal RNA, 964 nt
Filed under: uncultured candidate division CAB-I bacterium
Lineage: Bacteria
Description: bacterial SSU rRNA
Rfam family: Bacterial small subunit ribosomal RNA
Source: RNAcentral
GAGUUUGAUCAUGGCUCAGGAUGAACGCACAAGACGUGCCUAACACAUGCAAAUCGAAUGAAAAUAAUUAAUUAUUGUUUUCAUGGUGAACGGGUGAGUAACACAUAAGAAUCAGCUUUUAGAUAAGGCAUAAAAGAGUAAUAUCUUGGUAAUUCCUUAUAUGCGCAGCAGUGCUUAAAAAGGGGAGUCCCGUCUAAAAACGAGCUUAUGCCUGAUUAGCUAGUUGGCGAGUUAAAAGCUCACCAAGGCGAAGAUCAGUAGCUGGCCUGAGAGGGCGGCCAGCCACAUUGGGACUGAGACACGGCCCAAACUCCUACGGGAGGCAGCAGUGGGGAAUCUUCUGCAAUGGGCGCAAGCCUGACAGAGCGGCGUCGUGUGAAGGAAGAAGGCCUGAAAUAGGUUGUAAACUUCUUUUACUGAGUAAUGAAUAAUGACAACGCAGUAAAAAAGUAUCGGCUAACUCCGUGCCAGCAGCCGCGGUAAUACGGGGGAUGCAAGCGUUAUCCGGAAUCACUGGGCGUAAAGCGUCUGUAGGUGGUUUAGUGUGUUCUUAGUUAAAUUAUGAAGCUUAACUUCAUGAAAAGUAAGAAAACUAUUAGACUUGAGUACGAUAGGGGUAAGAGGAAUUCUUCGAGAAGUAGUGAAAUGCGAAGAUACGAAGGAGAAGAUCAUAAGCGAAGGCUUCUUACUGGGUCGUAACUGACACUGAGAGACGAAAGCUAGGGGAGCGAAUGGGAUUAGAUACCCCAGUAGUUCUAGCUGUAAACGAUGGAUAUUCGGUGCCGGAAAUUUUAUUAGAACAUUUCGGUACCCCUAGCUAACGCGUUAAAUAUCCCGCCUGAGGAGUACGCUCGCAAGGGUGAAACUCAAAGAAUUGACGGGGGCUCGCACAAGCGGUGGAAGCAUGUGGUUUUAAUUCGAUGCAAAGCGAAGAACCUUACCAGGGCUUGUCAGUAUGUAUAAA